Molecule: ribosomal RNA, 543 nt
Filed under: uncultured bacterium
Lineage: Bacteria
Description: bacterial SSU rRNA
Rfam family: Bacterial small subunit ribosomal RNA
Source: RNAcentral
CGAAAAACCUUACCCACCUUUGACAUGUACGGAAUCCUUUAGAGAUAGAGGAGUGCUCGAAAGAGAGCCGUAACACAGGUGCUGCAUGGCUGUCGUCAGCUCGUGUCGUGAGAUGUUGGGUUAAGUCCCGCAACGAGCGCAACCCUUGCCAUUAGUUGCUACGAAAGGGCACUCUAAUGGGACUGCCGGUGACAAACCGGAGGAAGGUGGGGAUGACGUCAAGUCCUCAUGGCCCUUAUAGGUGGGGCUACACACGUCAUACAAUGGCUGGUACAGAGGGUUGCCAACCCGCGAGGGGGAGCUAAUCCCAUAAAGCCAGUCGUAGUCCGGAUCGCAGUCUGCAACUCGACUGCGUGAAGUCGGAAUCGCUAGUAAUCGCGGAUCAGAAUGUCGCGGUGAAUACGUUCCCGGGUCUUGUACACACCGCCCGUCACACCAUGGGAGCGGGUUCUGCCAGAAGUAGGUAGCCUAACCGUAAGGAGGGCGCUUACCACGGCAGGGUUCGUGACUGGGGUGAAGUCGUAACAAGGUAAGCGUAGAUGA